Molecule: RNA transcript, 3435 nt
Organism: Brassica napus (rape)
Lineage: Eukaryota; Viridiplantae; Streptophyta; Magnoliopsida; Brassicales; Brassicaceae
Gene name: vacuolar sorting protein 18
Exons: 24
Source: RefSeq, a predicted model, not a curated record
UUAUAACCCAUUAAUCCGGUUUGUGAAGUUUACAGCUGGCUUCUAAUCCGAAACGGCAUCGUUUCGUUCACUUGAUUCUUUCGAAGAGACGGUGGCGUUAUCAUAUCAGUGACGGACGUCUUCUCCUGGUUGCCGAUCAGAUCCCCGACGGAGGUAACGCUUCCAAUUGUUUUUUAAAACUAAGAGAUGGAUCAAGGAAGGCAAGUGUUUUCAGUUGAUCUCCUCGAGAGAUAUGCCUCGAAGAAUCGUGGCAUGAUCACAUGUAUGGCGGCUGGAAACGAUGUGAUUGUUCUGGGAACAAGCAAAGGAUGGAUCAUCCGCCAUGAUUUUGGAGUUGGGAGUUCUUAUGAUAUUGAUCUCUCUGUUGGUCGAACUGGGGAGCAAUCGAUUCACAAGGUUUUUGUUGACCCUGGUGGUAGCCAUUGCAUUGCUACGGUCACUGGUGUUGGAGGAGCUGAAACUUUUUAUACUCAUGCUAAAUGGCCUAAGCCGCGUGUGUUGAGCCGCUUGAAGGGUUUGUUGGUUAACUCGGUGGCUUGGAACAGGCAACAGAUAACAGAAGUUUCAACUAAGGAGAUCAUCCUGGGCACUCAAGAUGGGCAGCUAUUUGAGAUGGCUGUGGAUGAGAAGGAUAAGAGAGAGAAGUACAUCAAGUUUUUGUUCGAACUAGAAGAACUUCCUGAAGCCUUCAUGGCUUUGCAGAUGGAAACAGCCAACAUAAACAGUGGAAUGAGGUACUAUGUGAUGGCUGUAACUCCCACUCGACUCUACUCGUUCACCGGGAUUGGAACAUUAGAAUCUGUUUUUGCUAGUUAUAAAGAACGUGCAGUUCAUUUUAUGGAACUUCCUGGUGAAAUACCAAACAGUGAACUACAUUUCUUUAUAAAGCAACGAAGAGCGGUGCAUUUUGCGUGGCUUUCAGGAACAGGAAUUUAUCAUGGGGGCCUAAAUUUCGGUGCUCAGCACAGUUACCCAAAUGGUGAUGAGAAUUUUGUGGAGAGCAAAGCCCUCUUGGACUACUCAAAGCUGAGUGAUGGCACUGAAAUAGUCAAGCCUAGUUCGAUGGCACUCUCAGAAUAUCAUUUCUUGCUUCUUAUUGGGAAUAAGGUUAAGGUUGUGAAUCGGAUUAGUGAACAAAUCAUUGAAGAGCUCCAGUUUGAUAUAACGGCAGAUUCAGCUUCGAGGGGCAUAAUUGGACUUUGCAGCGAUGCAUCUGCUGGUCUUUUCUAUGCGUAUGAUCAGAAUUCGAUCUUCCAGGUUUCUGUAAUUGAUGAAGGCAGAGAUAUGUGGAAGGUUUACCUAGACUUGAAAGUUUUUGCUGCAGCUUUAGCAAACUGCCGUGACCCUCUCCAGAGAGACCAAGUUUAUUUAGUUCAGGCAGAAGCUGCAUUUGCCGACAAGGAAUAUCUACGAGCAGCAUCAUUCUAUGCCAAAGUAAUUUCUAGCUCCUUUGUUUUACUUUGCUCUAGCAUGGUAUUAUUCAUUUUGAUGUGGAUACAUGUUUUCUUGCAGAUCAAUUAUGUAAUAUCUUUUGAAGAGGUCACGUUGAAGUUUAUUAGUAUCAACGAACCGGAAGCUUUGAGAACCUUCCUGUUGCGGAAGCUUGAUACUCUUUCAAAGGAUGAUAAAUGCCAAAUUACAAUGAUAUCAACAUGGGCAACUGAGCUGUAUCUGGACAAGAUAAAUCGGCUGCUUUUGGAAGAUGAUACUGCUAUAGAAAACCGUAACUCAGAGUAUCACUCAGUCAUUCAAGAAUUCCGUGCUUUCAUGAGCGACUGCAAGGAUGUAUUAGAUGAGGCAACAACCAUGAAACUUCUGGAGAGUUAUGGUCGGGUUGAAGAGUUGGUAUAUUUUGCAAACCUGAAGGAGCAGUAUGAAAUCGUUAUUCACCAUUAUAUUCAGCAAGGGGAAGCAAAGAAAGCUUUGGAGGUGCUCCAGAAAUCUUCAGUUUCAGAUGAGCUUCAGUAUAAAUUUGCGCCAGAACUUAUUAUGCUUGACGCGUAUGAAACCGUGGAAGCAUGGAUGGCCAGUAAAAAUCUGAAUCCAAGGAGACUGAUUACUGCAAUGAUGCGUUACUCAAGCGAACCUCAUGCAAAGAACGAGACACAUGAAGUCAUAAAAUACCUUGAGUUUUGCGUCCAUAGUUUGCAUAACGAGGAUCCAGGGAUUCACAAUUUACUUCUCUCAUUAUAUGCCAAGCAGGAAGAUGACAGUGCCCUCCUCCGUUUCCUGCAAUGCAAAUUUGGGAAAGGACGAGAGAACGGUCCUGAAUUUUUCUACGAUCCCAAAUAUGCAUUGCGCCUAUGUCUCAAGGAAAAGAGAACUCGUGCCUGUGUCCAUAUAUACAGUAUGAUGUCUAUGCAUGAAGAGGCGGUGGCCCUUGCUCUUCAGAUUGACCCAGAACUUGCUAUGGCUGAGGCUGAUAAGGUUGAAGAUGAUGAAGACCUGAGAAAGAAGCUGUGGCUGAUGGUUGCAAAGCAUGUCGUCAAACAGGAAAAGGGAGCGAAAAGGGAAAACAUAAGGAAAGCUAUUGCCUUUCUCAAGGAAACUGAUGGCCUUCUAAAGAUUGAAGAUAUUUUGCCAUUCUUUCCGGACUUUGCCUUGAUAGAUGACUUCAAGGAAGCGAUUUGCUCAUCUCUGGAGGAUUACAACAAGCAAAUAGAACAAUUGAAAGAGGAGAUGAACGAUGCCACACGUGGUGCAGAUAAUAUUAGAAAUGAUAUUAGUGCCCUAACUCAAAGAUAUGCUGUAAUCGACCGCGAAGAGGAAUGCGGGGUUUGUAAACGUAAAAUCUUGACGAUGACCGGGGAUUUCAGAAUGGCUCAGGGAUAUUCAUCAUCUGGACCACUGGCUCCUUUCUAUGUUUUUCCUUGUGGGCACUCUUUCCAUGCACAGUGCCUGAUUACACAUGUCACAAGCUGUGCACACGAAGAGCAAGCCGAGCAUAUACUCGAUCUGCAGAAGCAGCUGACAUUGCUUGGUAGUGAAACCCGGAGGGAUAUGAAUGGUAAUCGAUCUGAUGAACCUAUAACUAGCACAACUACUGCAGACAAGCUUCGAUCAGAGCUAGAUGAUGCUAUCGCCAGCGAAUGCCCGUUCUGUGGAGAAUUAAUGAUCAAUGAGAUCACUCUGCCUUUUAUUAAACCUGAGGAAACACGACACUCUGCUUCAUGGGACCUCCGACCACAGACCAACUUAGCAAACCAGAGGACCAUUUCUUUGCCUGUUUGAUUUGUGUAAACACCGUGAUAGCUUUGGAGUGUGAAUGUGAUUUCGAGUGCGAAUAUAUUUUCUUCGACAGAGCCUGCUUGCCCCAGCGCUUCAAGUCAUAGGCUCUCUUGAAAGGUUUCUUCUCCUUGGUAAGUCUUUUAUUUGUAAUAGCGAUUGCAAGAUCGUUCGGGAACAAAGUUUGCCAGACAAAGCCGUGGAGAAGCG